This 810-nucleotide unclassified non-coding RNA is filed under the name Zea mays. RNAcentral's name for it is "misc RNA Zm00001eb244900". The record is from RNAcentral. Lineage: Eukaryota; Viridiplantae; Streptophyta; Magnoliopsida; Poales; Poaceae.
UGCACCUCUUCCCGCCACCGUGAGCCUUGCAGCAAUCGGUGCUCCCUUGCGCGCUCUUGCCGCACCCGUCCACCCUGCACCGCUUGCCACCGCCGUGCUUCACGCAGCGGUCCGUGCGGCCGCGCGCGCUCUUGCUGCACCCAGGCACCGCGCACCGCUUCCCGCCGCCGUGAGCCACGCAGAAGUCUGUGCCGCCGUGGACGCUCUUGGGGCACACGCCGCCGCCCUCAUACACGCACCGCUUCCCGCCGCCGUGCGCCUUGCACAGCGGCGUGCUGCCUUCGGCGCCCUUGCCGCACCCCUCGAAGACGCAGCGCUUCCCGCCGCCGUGCGACUUGCAGUACAGGGUGCUGCCCUGCGCUCCCCUGCGGCAGUCCGGGAACUGGCACCGCCGCCCGCCGCCGUGAGAGAUGCACAGCCCGACCCUUCCCUCGGCGCUCCUGAUGCAGCCCUCGACCGAGCACCUCUUCCCGCCGCCGUGCUUGAUGCACCGCCCGGACUUGCCACGCGCGGCUUUAGGGCAGUCAGGGUAGCCGCACCGCUGGCCGCCGCCAUGGGCGAUGCAGUGGUCCGUCUUCCCUUCCGCGCUCUUGGUGCAGCCGAGCUGCAGGCACCGGCGCCCCCCGCCGUGGGCCUUGCAGUAGGCCGUGCGGCUCUCGGCGCCCUUGUGGCACCCGGGCUUCUGGCACCUCUGCCCGCCGCCGUGAGCGAUGCACAGGCCCGUCGCGCCUCGCGCGCCCUUGGAGCACCCUUUGAACCUGCACUUCUUGGGGUGCCGGCGUUGAGCCUGCUGUCCAGAGUUGCUUACCA